RNAcentral lists this ribosomal RNA (561 nucleotides) under Talaromyces marneffei. RNAcentral's name for it is "eukaryotic LSU rRNA". The stretch from base 198 to 351 matches the Rfam family "5.8S ribosomal RNA". Lineage: Eukaryota; Fungi; Ascomycota; Eurotiomycetes; Eurotiales; Trichocomaceae. The record is from RNAcentral.
ACCUGCGGAAGGAUCAUUACCGAGUGCGGGCCCUCGCGGCCCAACCUCCCACCCGUGUCUCUCUCUACCUGUUGCUUUGGCGGGCCCACCGGGGCCACCCGGUCGCCGGGGGACGUCCGUCUCCGGGCCCGCGCCCGCCGAAGCGCCCUGUGAACCCUGAUGAAGAUGGGCUGUCUGAGUCGCAUGAAAAUUGUCAAAACUUUCAACAAUGGAUCUCUUGGUUCCGGCAUCGAUGAAGAACGCAGCGAAAUGCGAUAAGUAAUGUGAAUUGCAGAAUUCCGUGAAUCAUCGAAUCUUUGAACGCACAUUGCGCCCCCUGGCAUUCCGGGGGGCAUGCCUGUCCGAGCGUCAUUUCUGCCCUCAAGCGCGGCUUGUGUGUUGGGCGUGGUCCCCCCGGGGACCUGCCCGAAAGGCAGCGGCGACGUCCGUCCGGUCCUCGAGCGUAUGGGGCUCUGUCACUCGCUCGGGACGGAUCGGCGGAGGUUGGUCACCACCACAGUUUUACCACGGUUGACCUCGGAUCAGGUAGGAGUUACCCGCUGAACUUAAGCAUAUCAAUAA